UCUGGUUGAUCCUGCCAGUAGUCAUAUGCUUGUCUCAGAGAUUAAGCCAUGCAUGUCUAAGUACAUACCUUUAAACGGUGAAACCGCGAAUGGCUCAUUAAAUCAGCUAUGGUUCCUUGGAUCGUACAUACUACAUGGAUAACUGUAGUAAUUCUAGAGCUAAUACAUGCCACUAUGCCCUGACCCGCGAGGGAACGGGUGGAUUUAUUAGAACAGAACCAACCGGGGGCGGCUUCGGUCGUCCCUGUUGCAUUCUGUGAUGACUCUGGAUAACUUCACUGAUCGCAGUCGGCCUUGUGUCGGCGACGGAUCUUUCAAAUGUCUGCCCUAUCAAUUUUCGAUGGUAGGUGACCUGCCUACCAUGGUGCUAACGGGUAACGGGGAAUCAGGGUUCGAUUCCGGAGAGGGAGCCUGAGAAACGGCUACCACUUCCAAGGAAGGCAGCAGGCACGCAAAUUACCCAAUCCCGGCACGGGGAGGUAGUGACGAAAAAUACGGAUACGGGACUCACUAGAGGCUCCGUAAUUCGAAUGAGUACAAUUUAAAUCCUUUAACGAGGAUCAACUGGAGGGCAAGUCUGGUGCCAGCAGCCGCGGUAACUCCAGCUCCAGAAGCGUAUAUUAAAGUUGUUGCAGUUAAAAAGCUCGUAGUNGGAUAGGAGGCAUCGGUCAAAGAAAAUCAUGUAACCAAUUUCUCUGCUGCGUUUCCAUUGUGCAUGAGUGUGGACGAGUGUGCACGAACAGAGAAACGCCUAACCAGUCACUCAGCUUUCAACCAAGCCCUGUCUACUCCGUGGUCCUUUUGACCAUCAGGUUUCCAACAUCAUUUUAGUUGCAUUUCGAUAACAGACGGAGCUGAGCACGCUAUCCAUGGUUUGUCAGGAUCGCUGUCGCACAUACACGCCCCACAUGACAUGUUGGCGACGUGUGAAUGGCAUGCAGCUUUCGAGCGUGAGGGCUGAGAAAUGGAAACACAGCAUCAUGACAAGAUUAUCACAACUAUUUUCAUUCAACAUGAAGCUAGGACGUUGUUAAUUCAAUUGAGUCACAUGCAACUCCAUCUGAAGCUAUCAUGUUUUAAAUAGAUAUAAGGCUACAAAUCCCAUAUGUUGUUGCUCGAGUAAAAACCGUUUUCGAAGAUAUACGAUUGACUACAUUAUUACCCUGAAUUCUACACUGAUACCAUGCAAAAUGCUACGGAGAAUAAAUUGAGUAAUUUGUUUUCAAAAUCCGCUGAGAAGCAGAGGAUGAAGUGAGUGUCGAUUUACCGCGGAAUGAAUUG
RNAcentral lists this ribosomal RNA (1281 nucleotides) under Fasciola hepatica (liver fluke). RNAcentral describes it as "SSU rRNA". It matches the Rfam family "Eukaryotic small subunit ribosomal RNA", at positions 1 to 911 of the family's 1831-position model. The record is from RNAcentral. Lineage: Eukaryota; Metazoa; Platyhelminthes; Trematoda; Plagiorchiida; Fasciolidae.